Molecule: long non-coding RNA, 1188 nt
Organism: Oreochromis aureus
Lineage: Eukaryota; Metazoa; Chordata; Actinopteri; Cichliformes; Cichlidae
Exons: 3
Source: RefSeq, a predicted model, not a curated record
UCAACUCUGAGACGAUUUACCUGCUCAGGAACGUUUUGAUGCGUUUUCCCAGGAGCAACGAUAAUCAAAGCCGGUUAAGCCAAUCAAUCCUGCAGUUCACUUAUUAUCAAUUUUACUUUGAUGCCAUUCAAACUCAUUUUAUUUAAUUUACCUUCUCAGUUUUAAUAACAGCUUAACUCUGGUUUAGCACCAACAUUGGUUUUUACGUUUAAUCUUGAAAUAUAAACCAACAUUAAAGCUUUUUUUAUUCUAUGAUUAGAAAUCGAAACCUAAAAUUACGAUUUAUUCUGUUGCUUCCAGCUUCAGAAACAGCUAGCAUUGGUCUUUAGUGUAGUUUUAAAAAUCACCUUCAGUUACUCAGACUUCAUUCAAAACUUUGAAAUGAGUCUUAAACGAGUCAGGGAAGCUCAUUUCAGACUGAUGACGGGGAUGCUGAGGAGUCUAGUCGCCAUGCUGUCAUUAGAGGCCUGAUAAUCCCAGUUUGAUUACCUGGUGUUGAGUUUGUCCUGCUGGGCUUUGAUCUCCUUCUCGCUGGGAUGUCCGCUGUGAAUCAGCUGCCUGGCAACCUGGUUUACCACGGCAACCCGUGACGCCUGGCUGUUCAUCUCCGGCUCCAAACUCUCGAACCUGAACAGAGACGAGGCUGAUCAGGAGAACCAGGAUGAGAGGUCAGACGUGUGAGCAGGCGGGCUGCUUUAACUCUCCCAACAACCUAUCAAAGUCGGAUUUUACACCAAAGGUUUGAGCAGCUGGAUCGGGCCAUGGAAAGCUCUCUGGAAAACUCCACCAACGAUGGUUAAUGCAAAAGUAAGGAGUUUAAUCCUGAGGUGGACCUGUUCUCAUCUACAGCUCCGUGUUUUUAUUCCUGCUGCAGAGAUUAAAUUAAACCCGAACUCUUAAAACUCCAGUUUUAAUCAGACUUUCGUUCUUUCACAAAGUUUGUUUUCAUGGGGCGUGCUAUGGGUUUGACUGCUUUUAUAACACAGGUGUGUGUGUCGCUGUAAUUCAACCUGCUAAUAACUAACGGUGACCGGUCCAGGGUGUGUGCCACCUCGUGCCCUGUGGCAGCUCCCGCCCGACCCCGAAGACCAAACAGACAUCCUCAAAACUGUCAGCAGGUUUAACGCUGCAGAGAACCUGCUGGAGUCUGAGUUUGAUUACAGUUUAAGAGCCUUCUGGUCCUCACAA